RNAcentral lists this small RNA (125 nucleotides) under Marmota monax (woodchuck). Lineage: Eukaryota; Metazoa; Chordata; Mammalia; Rodentia; Sciuridae. The record is from RNAcentral.
GCUGGGUGUAGUGGUGCACACCUGUAAUCCCAGCAGCACGGGAGGCUGAGAAAGGAGGAUCAUGAGUUCAAAGCCAGCCUCAGCAGAAGCAAGGCACUAAGCAACUCAGUAAGACCCUGUCUCUA